GUGUGGGUGAGGGUGAUCCGUCGCCGGUGUGAGUGGCAGAGGCCGUGUGGAGGGUGACUUCCCUGCUCUGGUCCGCGUUCCCGGGACCAGCCCGCCCCGAAGACCGAAUAAUGGCUCUGCUGCAGUAUAAAGGUUGCUGCAAGGACCACUGGGAGAAGCCCAAGUCUUGUCUACCUGCUCUUUUCUCCUCAAACACAACAGUAAGCAAGCCCCCUCCAUGCUGGGAAUAGACAGCUGUCCUUGAGGCUGAGGCUAAACAGAUUAUGCACAGCAGUCUUCUCUCCAUCAUUGCCUGGACCUGGGGUAGCUGUUAAGCACUUGGGUUUCCAAAGGUUCCUGACCAUCUACACAAAAAGAAUAAACAAA
This is a long non-coding RNA of Octodon degus (degu), 366 nucleotides long. RefSeq lists it as uncharacterized. The transcript is spliced from 3 exons. The record is from RefSeq and is a predicted model, not a curated record. Lineage: Eukaryota; Metazoa; Chordata; Mammalia; Rodentia; Octodontidae.